UUAACGUAUCGAGACAGCUGUGUCUGAAAAGUAGCAGGUGAAUAGAAGAUAUUGAAAAACUUUUUUGGCCCGGAUUAUUAAAGAAGAAGCAACUGCCUUUGAACCUCUCAACUUCAGACGAAGGGGGUGGGGGAGGGUCUGGAUUCUCCAGAUUUUUCUGCGAAAUUUUCAAGAAACUGCAAGAGUCUGUUGGCAGGUCCUUAGCUGUGCCGAAGGAACUGAGGAAUUCAGGCUCUGAUUCCAGCUACAAGCUGUAAUGAUCUUUGCAACGAGGAGGAUGCUAGAUCAGGUGCCGCUGUCGUCAUGUCACCAUGAUUCAAAAUUGCAAGAUUAGCACAAGAGUCCCCAGAAAAUAUAUCGACACUUAACUAAAUCCAAUCCAAUCAAGGAUGUGACAGGAAUCAAACCGGGUACCUGGUGAAUAGCGGUUCCUGCAGAGUUGGGUGGAUACCUGGUUUUCAAGUACCAGGAACAGAUUGAAGCUACCAAUUGGUAUCAAUCGAGUUCAAAAUUGAUACUGGAUACAUGACCCACUUAGUCUCUAAUAAUUUUGUGUAGCUGAUACUCUUGCGCAUCUGGGACAAAUUAUGGUUGAUAAAGUAUCACCCAACUCUAUUGCAAAAAGAAUGUGGAACUCUCUUUCUAUCUGGAUGCAUCACAGAAAAUUAUCAUUUUCCUUCAGGAAGAACAAUAUGCCGGUAUCAUAUUGAACAUCAAUGAAGACCACCGCAUUUUUGAAGUCAUCUUUGUUACUGCUUAAAAGUACAGACCUGGAACCUUUCGCUACUGUUAUUUCUAAUUGAUAUUUAAGGAUGAUAAUGUUUUUGAUGGACUACUUCCUUCAAAACGAAGGUAUUUUACAUGCAAUGA
Long non-coding RNA from Argiope bruennichi, 870 nucleotides. RefSeq lists it as uncharacterized. NCBI's taxonomy places the organism in Eukaryota, Metazoa, Arthropoda, Arachnida, Araneae, Araneidae. The record is from RefSeq and is a predicted model, not a curated record. The transcript is spliced from 4 exons.